CACGUAGGGCGCAAGCGUUGUCCGGAAUUAUUGGGCGUAAAGAGCUCGUAGGUGGUUUGCCACGUCCGCUGUGAAAUCCCAAGGCUUAACCUUGGGCUUGCAGUGGAUACGGGCAGACUAGAGGUAGGUAGGGGAGAACGGAAUUCCUGGUGUAGCGGUGAAAUGCGCAGAUAUCAGGAGGAACACCGGUGGCGAAGGCGGUUCUCUGGGCAUUACCUGACGCUGAGGAGCGAAAGUGUGGGGAGCGAACAGG
This 253-nucleotide ribosomal RNA is filed under the name uncultured bacterium. Its description in RNAcentral is "partial 16S ribosomal RNA". It matches the Rfam family "Bacterial small subunit ribosomal RNA", at positions 524 to 776 of the family's 1533-position model. The record is from RNAcentral.